Molecule: ribosomal RNA, 2511 nt
Filed under: Vaceletia sp. GW948
Lineage: Eukaryota; Metazoa; Porifera; Demospongiae; Dictyoceratida; Verticillitidae
Description: large subunit ribosomal RNA
Rfam family: Bacterial large subunit ribosomal RNA (bases 374-2380)
Source: RNAcentral
AUUAGUGGACAAAGUUAGUAGUGGAGAGCGAGAGCUUUGUGUGGUUAAUAAAAAUAAAAUUAAAUAUAAUAAAAAAAAUAUAAUAUAAUAAAAAAAAUAAAUACUUAAUCAAAAUAAAAUUUUAUUUUGAUUAAUUAAAAAAAAAAAAUAUAAUCAAAAACAAAAUAAUAAAUUUUUAUUUUGUUUUUGAUUAAUUAAUCAAAAUAAAAUUAAAUUUUAUUUUGAUUAAAAUAAAAUUAAAUUUUAUUUAUUUUUUUUAUUAUAUAAAAAUUUAUUAUUUUGUUUGUGAUUAAGGAUUUUGAUUAUAUUUUUUUUUUAAUUAAUCAAAAUAAAAUUUUAUUUUGAUUAAGUAUUUUGAUUAAUUAAUUAGGUUUAAUAAUAUAAUGAAGACGAAGAGGGGCCACCGAUAGAGAAGAGUACUGUGAAGGAAAGUUAAAAAUUUUGUCUUUAAAGCGGAUAUUGUUAUCGUACCUUUUGUAUAAGGGGUUUGUAAGAAGUUUUUAGCGAGGUGGGGGUCGGAAUGAGAGUGAGUCUUCUGUAGUUAAAAGUCCCGAAACUAAGUGAUCUAAUUAUGGGCAGCUUGAAGUUAUACGGGGGUAUAAUGGAGGGGCGAACUGGUAACUGUGGCAAAAGUUUCAGAUGAUCUAUAAUUGGUGGUGANAGACUAAUCGAACUUAGAAAUAGCUGGUUUUCUACGAAAUUUAAUUUAGUGAAGUGAAAAUUUAAAUAAAUCAGAUUUAUGUAAUCCAAAAAUGGAAAAUUUUUUUAUUUAUUAAAAAAAAAGUUUAAAUCCAAUAAAAUUUUAUUUGAUAUUUUCAAUGAGAGUGGGGGCGUAAAGUUGUCACUCGAGAGGGGAAAAGCCCGGAUAUUAGCUAAAGGCGUGAAACAAAUAGAUUUUUUUAUUAAAUCUUAAUAAUAAUAAAAAUAUAAAAAAAUAAAAUUUUAUUUUUGAUUAAGCUUUUAAGUGCAAAAGGGGGGUUAAUUUAGAUAAAAAGAAAGUGGGCUUGGANGUAGCCAUCUUAUAAAGAGUGUGUAAUUACAUAAUUUUUAAGUUAAGGCCCUUGAAAAUGUGGGCGACUUAAAAAAGUAUUAAAGCUAUGGGUGUUUAAUAUAUUAUUAUGAUUUUAAGUUUCUGAAUAAAUUUAAUUAAACCAAAUUUAUGUAGUAGAAUAUACUGUAUUGGAUAAUGAGAAUAGAUCAGUAGAAAUAAUGCAAACAUGAGUAAAAAAUACCUGGGGGUAAUUUACAAAAGUUGUNNAAAAAAAAACAAAAACAAAAAAUCUAAACAAAAAAAUAAAAUUAAAUUGUUGUUAUAUUUUUUGUUUUGAUAUUAAAAUUUUUUUUAUUAUAUUUAUUUUUGUAGUAAAAUUUAAGACUAUCGGGGGUAGUUGAAGAGGAAUGGGAGUUCCGACUGACAAUAGAGGGUAUUUAAAUGAAUGAUUUUAUAUUAAGGAAUUCGGCAAAAUGUUUUUGUAAGAUUACGAGAAGAAAAGAGUUUAAUCNAAAAAAAAAUAAAUGAUAAAAUUUUUGUUUAUUAAACAAAAUUUAGGAGGUAUCGACUGUUUCGCAAAAACAUAGCUUCUAGUAAAGAAUAGAGGUGAGACCUGUCCAGUGACUAUUUCUAAAUAUUGUUUCAAUUAUAAGGGUAGUUAAACGGCCGCGGUAAUUAUGACCGUGUUAAAGUAGCGCAAUCAAUCGCCAAUUAAUUGUUGGCAAGUAUGAAGGUUUCACGAAUGCCUCACUGUCUCGAUAUAAAGUUUAUUGAAAUUGGAAUUUUAGUGAAGAUACUAAAUAGUAAUUGAAAGACGAGAAGACCCCGUGAGCUUUACUGGAGUAUUAAUUAUUAUUAAUAUAGACAGUUUAGUUGGGGCGACUCCCCUAUAAAGAGUAACUAGGGGGCUUGUGGGUUAAGAAAUAGUUAAAUCUAAGACAAUAAGGGGGCCCUCCCGAAUUGGCAUGUAGUUUGUGUAAAUAAUAAUGAUAAUAAAAAUGCUUAAUCAAAAUAAAAUUUUAUUUUGAUUAAUUAAACAAAAAAAUAUUUUAAUCAAAAAAAAAAUUUUUAUAUUAUUUUGUUUUUGUUUAUAUUUUUUUUAUUAUAUUUUUUUAUUAUUAUAUUAAUAAUUUCGUGGGAUAUAUCGAUCCGUAGUUUAUUGAUUACGAGAGCGGCAAAAAGUUACCGCGGGGAUAACAGGGUAAUUUUGUUUGAGAGCUCGUAUCGAAGACGAAGUUUGCNACCUCGAUGUUGAAUUGUGAUAUCCUGAAGGCGCAGGAGUUUUCAAGGGUUGGACUGUUCGUCCAUUAAAAUCGCACAUGAUUUGAGUUCAGACCGGCGUGAGCCAGGUCGGUUUCUAUCUUCAAUUAUUUAAUGUCUUUUAUUUUUUUAGUACGAAAGGAGGAAAGAGAGUUUGUUCUAUGAUUUAUAAUUAAGACAAAAAAUUAAUUAUUAAAUACAUAUAUAAGAAAUUUAAAGAAGGUGUUAUUUUAGAUAAAAAUAAUUUAAAAUACUAAUAA